CAAUAGCGUAUACUAAAGUUGUUGCGAUUAAAAAGCUCGUAGUUGGAUCUCAGGUAUGGGCGCACGGUCCGCCUCGCGGCGGUCACUGUGUGUUUUGUUUCCCAUCCUACGCUUCCCGGUUAUCAGCCCAUGGUGCUCUUCACUGAGCGUUUUGGGUGGCCGGAACGUUUACUUUGAAGAAAUUAGAGUGUUCAAAGCAGGCACGUCGCCUGAAUAAUGGUGCAUGGAAUAAUGGAAUAGGACCUCGGUUCUAUUUUGCUGGUUUUCGGAACACGAGGUAAUGAUUAAGAGGGACAGACGGGGGCAUCCGUAUUGCGGUGUUAGAGGUGAAAUUCUUGGAUCAUCGCAAGACGAACAACUGCGAAAGCAUUUGCCAAGCAUGUUUUCAUUAG
Molecule: ribosomal RNA, 392 nt
Filed under: uncultured eukaryote
Lineage: Eukaryota
Description: partial 18S ribosomal RNA
Rfam family: Eukaryotic small subunit ribosomal RNA
Source: RNAcentral